GAUUGGAAAUCUCAAAAAUUCUUGACGGGAACCCCUUUUUUCCGCCAGAUGAGGGCGCACGGGUGAUAACACACGAGGGUAAUCCUCCUUUUGGAUGGGGAAUAACACCUCGGAAGCUUAAUACCCGCGAUAAGUGCUUGCUGGCACCCCUAAGUGGGUGACAGUUUGUUAAAGCGGGGGGCAUAAAAAGCACCUUCAGCAGUUCUUAAAGCAGGCAGCCUGCUGGCGGUAUUACUUUGAUUGGAACGGGUACCGGCUUUACCAAGGCGACUAUCCGAUACCCGGCCGUGAGAGGGCGCCGGCCACACUUGACACUGACUCUCGGGUCAUACUCCAUACGGGAGGUAGGAGUUGGGAAUUUUGGGCAAUGGGCACAAGCCUGACCCACAACGCCGGGAGAAGGAUAAACCCCCCGGGAUGUAAACUUUAAAAGAACAGGAAGAAUAUUUUUGUUAAAACUACCACAAAGAUUGACCCUACCGUUUGAUAAGCCCCGGAAUAACUCCGGUGCCAAGAGCGGGAGAAUAAUAGGGGGAGAGCCAGUGUUUUUAAAAUUUACUGGGCAAAAAAAGGGGCGCAAGAACGGCUCUCCCCCCGGUUUUGUAAAUUUGAACACC
This 617-nucleotide ribosomal RNA is filed under the name uncultured bacterium. RNAcentral's name for it is "partial 16S ribosomal RNA". It matches the Rfam family "Bacterial small subunit ribosomal RNA", at positions 64 to 609 of the family's 1533-position model. The record is from RNAcentral.